RNAcentral lists this unclassified non-coding RNA (217 nucleotides) under Hevea brasiliensis (rubber tree). Lineage: Eukaryota; Viridiplantae; Streptophyta; Magnoliopsida; Malpighiales; Euphorbiaceae. The record is from RNAcentral.
AAUGGUCUCAAAUAGCACUUGGACGUACAAGAUCCCGACUAUUGACACCAUACCUCAGAAUUUCAAUGUCCAUGUGGUAAACAGUGGACAUCACAAAAAGCGUGUUCUCUCGUCCAAAGCAUCUGGUGAACCACCGUUGCUGCUGGCAGUUAGUGUCCAUUGUGCAACACGAGCAGCGGUUAAAGCAGCACGUGAACAGCUCAAACAAUGGGACAAG